GGGGGAGACUGAAGUCAGACUUGACUUCACCUUACAUCCUAGAUAUGCGAGGCUGGAGCUGAGCCCAUCUCUUCUCGGUUAGGCAUCAACGUUGUCCCUUUCGUAAUGGGGAAAAAAAGAGAAAAUCUGUCAACUGUUAAAAGUUGUCCUCUUUACGUCUCACCACUGUGGAGUGGUCCUUCAUACUACACCUCCGACUCACCCUUGCCCUCUCUGCUCCUGCUCUUGUGUGAAGCCCACAUUCCAGCCGGGGUGUCAGGUCAGCACAGGCGCUGAAGGAUAAGUAGUGGUUUGCAGGCAGCAUCCAUUUGUUUCACCUCUGAUUAGGCCCAGGAAUGUCAGCCAUGGAGAGCUAUGGACGUUCCGACAGCCUCGUUUGACACCUCGACUAUUGGUCACUACAAAGAACAAGCUGAAACAUUAUCCACCCAAUGGCUGCCGGCUUUAUGGGCACUGGAAAAGUUCCUAAACAUUAUAUUUAUUUUGCUUGUGUAUACUGUGAGACAACUUUUGUUUGACACUACUCACUCUGCCACCUGGCUUUGUUUGCCUGUCAGUGCGGUCAUUUAAUGACUAUUUGAGUGUGUCGAUGUGCUGCUGUGAAAAGCAAAAUAUUGUCUUGAAAGGGAGAGAAUUGAGCUGAGUCAAAUUAGAAACAUGGGUUAGAGAGUUUAUGGGAAUGAAUUUUUGUGUAUUAUAAAUGUGAAUUAUGAAUUUGAAAUUGAAUUUAAAAAACUUGAAAACAUUUGUGCAUCAUAUGCUUUUUUAUUUUGUCUAACACAACAUUGACCACUUUGUUACAAAAUAAGUUUAAAUAAAUGGUAAAAUUGAGGUAACAGCAGUCUCUGAAGGCACAUUUCUCGACUAUUGUUAUAAUGUCUAUGUUGUAUGCUUACUUCAAACCACCACUAUGGUUCUGGAGGAAUAGGAACAAAAGGCAGCGCUUUCCUCAGGAAAGUUAUACUAUUUACUGCAAGUAUGUCACUAAGUUCUAUGAAUUCCAGAUACAAAGAGCAUUUCUUCCAUUGAAACUUCUUGUAAUAUAAACAUUUAAUAACAUUAAGAAUCUUUGUUGUUUCGUUCGUUGUUUGUAGUUAUGCAAUACAUGUGCACAUAAUCAUUAAACAUGGACUAAAACCAAUGCAUCCUUAAUUUCAUCCUUGAGUCCACUUAUGAGAUCUGAUCAGCAUUGCAGAGAAACAUGAACAGUCUGGGUAGAGAGUUCAAUAAGGUUGUUGAUGUAAAGCAACAUUCAUAGGGGAUGUGUUAAAAAAAUGGUAUUGUUGAAAAAUAUUGACAGGUCAUAGAUUGACCUUCAAUAACCCAAAGUGGCACACAAAAUAGUAGUAUACCACAAAAGUAUAGCUGAAACUGGCACAACAUGCUUCUACGUUGUAUAUAAAUGCAUCUGUGUCCAUGUUUUCAUUUUCUCAUUUUUAGAACAAUGGAUCACAAUCACUUUUGGACCUUGGCAGGGAUAUACAUGUACGUCGCCAAUGACAAAUACAAAUAAAUCCAAUAAUAACGUGACAUUUGAACUUAAUAAAAUAAUCAGAAAAGUUUGGCAGGACAACAAGUAUGUAAGUGGCAGCAAAACCAUGGGCCGAAGCUCAUUCUCAGAACUGUUGCAGUACUAGACCAGUCCAUAUAAGACAAACCUCUCAUACUCAAGGUUACCUUGUAAGCUUGUGGUUUUUCUAUUGUCCAUAGAAAGGUAAUGUACAAAAGGUCAUAUAAACCCAAAUGCAUUAGGUAAUUGUGUACAGCUCUAAUA
This is a long non-coding RNA of Hypomesus transpacificus, 1774 nucleotides long. RefSeq lists it as uncharacterized. The record is from RefSeq and is a predicted model, not a curated record. NCBI's taxonomy places the organism in Eukaryota, Metazoa, Chordata, Actinopteri, Osmeriformes, Osmeridae. The transcript has 2 exons.